AUGGCAUUGCACGCCCCCGUCCUCGUGCUGAAGGACUCGUUGAAGAGGGAAUCCGGCGCCAAGGUUCAGCAUGGCAACAUCCAGGCCGCGAAGGCUGUGUCAGACAUCAUUCGCACAACGUUGGGUCCUAGGUCCAUGUUGAAGAUGCUUCUGGAUGCCAGUGGAGGUAUCGUGGUCACUAAUGACGGCAAUGCUAUAUUACGGGAGCUAGACAUUGCACAUCCUGCUGCUAAGUCUAUGAUUGAGCUAAGCCGCACACAGGAUGAAGAAGUGGGAGAUGGGACAACAUCUGUAAUUGUUCUAGCUGGUGAGAUGCUCCAUGUUGCAGAAACAUUUAUUGAAAAGAACUACCAUCCCACUGUCAUUUGCCGAGCAUACAGCAGAGCUCUUGAGGAUGCCAUAGCUGUCCUUGACAAAAUUGCAAUGCCUGUUGAUGUUAAUGACCGCGAGGCAAUGCUAGGGUUGGUGAAGAGCUCCAUUGGUACAAAAUUCACUGGCCAGUUUGGCGACCUAAUUGCUGACCUUGCCAUAGAUGCUACUACAACAGCAGGUGUAGACCUGGGUCAAGGAAUGCGUGAAGUUGAUAUCAAGAAAUAUAUCAAAGUAGAGAAGAUUCCUGGCGGCCAGUUGGAGGACUCAAAGGUUCUUAAAGGGGUCAUGUUCAAUAAAGAUGUUGUGGCUCCUGGAAAAAUGAAAAGGAAGAUAGUAAAUCCACGCAUCAUCCUUUUGGAUUGCCCUGUUGAGUACAAAAAGGGGGAAAAUCAGACAAAUGCCGAGUUGAUGAGUGAAGAAGAUUGGAAGGUUCUGCUAGAUAUGGAGGAAGAAUACAUCAAGAACCUCUGUGUGCAAAUUUUGAAAUUCAAGCCUGACCUGGUUAUCACAGAGAAAGGACUCAGUGACAUGGCUAUGCAUUAUUUAAGCAAAGCUGGUGUUAGUGCAAUCCGUAGACUUAGGAAGACAGAUAACAACAGGAUUGCUAAAGCCUGUGGUGCAGUUAUAGUUAACAGGCCAGAGGAGCUUCAAGAAUCAGAUGUGGGGACACGAGCUGGUCUCUUUGAGGUUAAGAAGAUCGGUGAUGAAUUCUUUUCCUUCAUUAUUGAAUGCAAAGAUCCUAAAGCAUGCACUGUUCUAUUGAGGGGAGCAAGCAAGGACAUCUUGAACGAGGUGGAGAGGAACCUUCAGGAUGCCAUGUCUGUUGCAAGGAACAUUUUGAAAAACCCGAAACUUCUACCUGGAGGUGGUGCUUCUGAAUUGACUGUAUCGGCAACACUAAAGCAAAAGAGUUCUUCAGUUGAAGGUGUUGAAAAGUGGCCUUAUGAAGCUGCUGCUUUAGCAUUCGAAGCAAUCCCAAGAACUUUGCUUCAAAAUUGUGGUUUGAAUGUUAUUAGGACGAUGACACAACUCCAGGGAAAGCAUGCGAAUGGUGAAAAUCCUUGGGUUGGUGUUGAUGGAAGGACUGGUGAUAUUGUUGACAUGAAAGAGCGGAAGAUCUGGGAUUCUUACAGCGUGAAGGCACAGACGUUCAAGACAGCAAUCGAGUCUGCUUGCAUGCUUCUAAGGAUUGACGACAUUGUCAGUGGAAUCAAGAAGAAGCAGGCUCCUGGCUCUGGUGCUCCCAAGCAACCCCAGAUUGAAACGGGUGAAGAUGCGGACACUGAACAGAUGAUCCCGGAGUAG
Molecule: ribosomal RNA, 1677 nt
Filed under: Triticum aestivum (bread wheat)
Lineage: Eukaryota; Viridiplantae; Streptophyta; Magnoliopsida; Poales; Poaceae
Description: partial small subunit ribosomal RNA
Source: RNAcentral